UUUAAGCUGCAGUUUUGUAUAUUUUUAAUCAUUCUUUAUUUACAAUAGAUGCUGAUUAAAGUCACUUUAAAUUGGCUUCCGUGAUGGCUCACACAGAUAUUAGCCAAGUUACUGGUUUUUGGCCUAGACUGCGGCGGGGCAGUCGCCAGUCCGGCAGUCGAUCAUUGAUCGAUCGUUGAUCGUUGGCCAAGGAUGAAAAAAUGACUGAUAAAUGCAACAAAAUGAUGAAUGAGUUGGGAAAAAAGACAGAGAGACAUUGCCCUAGGGGGAGUUUUCAGAGAUCUAUGUAGGAAAUAAUCAAAGAAUUUCCAGAUGUCCAGGAAUGUUCUUGUCUCCCUUAGAAAUUCCCGGAUGCCAGAACCCCAGAAAGGUCUUUAAACGUUUCAAAAAAGUGCUAAAUGAUUGGGCUUAGCUCCAGCCAUGUUUAUUCUGCUCUCAAACUCAACUACUCCUUAAAUUUAAGUAGACUUUCAAUCCAUUAAACUCUUUUACAGAUCGUAAUCGAGCGGGUCGCAAAACUACACCCACAGCCGCCCCCUUAGGGCACACAUAUGUAUAUCUAUGUGUAUGUGUGUUCCUUUCCACUCCUAUUGGGAGUCCCAAUACAUAUCUGAACAUAUGCGUUCGCCGCACAGACAAUAAUUAGCCAUGGCAACAACAAAAAAUUGAAAGAAUUAUGAACAGAAAAAAGAAAAAAAAAAUAGAGGAGAGUAACGCCCUGGCGGCUCUACUUAGCCCUUAAAUCGCACUCUCUGUCGCCCACAGUAGCAGCGGCGACAGCGGCGACUGAGUAACAGUCACGUCAGGCGACAUAUGUCCAAUCUGUGGCAACCACCACCACAUCCUCGGACCACAUAUGGGUUCCUUAUUUCGGGCAAAAAACCGAAAGCCGAAUACCGAAAACCGAAAAGUAAACAUACUACCACUUCCUCGCCUUCCCAAUCCUCGUGUGUGAGUGGGUCUCAUAUUUGCGAUUUUUAUUUGCAAUCAAUCAUAAAAUAAACUGCCUGUCUCUGUGUUCCA
This 1023-nucleotide small RNA is filed under the name Drosophila pseudoobscura pseudoobscura. RNAcentral describes it as "GA30600". The record is from RNAcentral. Lineage: Eukaryota; Metazoa; Arthropoda; Insecta; Diptera; Drosophilidae.